AUUGAACGCUGGCGGCAGGCCUAACACAUGCAAGUCGAGCGGAUGAAGGGAGCUUGCUCCUGGAUUCAGCGGCGGACGGGUGAGUAAUGCCUAGGAAUCUGCCCGGUAGUGGGGGAUAACGUCCGGAAACGGGCGCUAAUACCGCAUACGUCCUGAGGGAGAAAGUGGGGGAUCUUCGGACCUCACGCUAUCAGAUGAGCCUAGGUCGGAUUAGCUAGUUGGUGGGGUAAAGGCCUACCAAGGCGACGAUCCGUAACUGGUCUGAGAGGAUGAUCAGUCACACUGGAACUGAGACACGGUCCAGACUCCUACGGGAGGCAGCAGUGGGGAAUAUUGGACAAAGGGCGAAAGCCUGAUCCAGCCAUGCCGCGUGUGUGAAGAAGGUCUUCGGAUUGUAAAGCACUUUAAGUUGGGAGGAAGGGCAGUAAGUUAAUACCUUGCUGUUUUGACGUUACCAACAGAAUAAGCACCGGCUAACUUCGUG
RNAcentral lists this ribosomal RNA (484 nucleotides) under uncultured bacterium. RNAcentral's name for it is "partial 16S ribosomal RNA". It matches the Rfam family "Bacterial small subunit ribosomal RNA", at positions 30 to 507 of the family's 1533-position model. The record is from RNAcentral.